ACGAUCCAACCGUUCAAUUUAAAGUUCUUAAUGCAUAGAUCAAAUCUGUAAAUUUUUAAAAAAUUUGAAAAUUAUUUGAUACUUCGUUUCAUUAAUUUGAAUCAAUGUAUAAAAUGAUUUUAUGAUUAUCCAUCAAUUUAAAUUAAUGAAAUAAAGUAUCAAAUAAUUUUCAAAUUUUUAAAAAAUUUACAAAUUUGAUCUAUGAAUUAAGAAUUUUAAAUUAAACAGUUUGAUAUU
Molecule: microRNA precursor, 237 nt
Filed under: Cajanus cajan (pigeon pea)
Lineage: Eukaryota; Viridiplantae; Streptophyta; Magnoliopsida; Fabales; Fabaceae
Description: miRNA gene-KK1_032185
Source: RNAcentral